GACACUGAACACUGGUCCUUGAUGUGUAGGAUAGGUGGGAGGCUUUGAAGUGUGGACGCCAGUCUGCAUGGAGCCGUCCUUGAAAUACCACCCUUUAAUGGCUGGUGUUCUAACGUGGGCCCGUGAUCCGGGUUGCGGACAGUGUCUGGUGGGUAGUUUGACUGGGGCGGUCUCCUCCUAAAGAGUAACGGAGGAGCACGAAGGUCAGCUAAUCCUGGUCGGACAUCAGGAGGUUAGUGCAAUGGCAUAAGCUGGCUUGACUGCGAGCGUGACGGCGCGAGCAGGUGCGAAAGCAGGUCAUAGUGAUCCGGUGGUUCUGAAUGGAAGGGCCAUCGCUCAACGGAUAAAAGGUACUCCGGGGAUAACAGGCUGAUACCGCCCAAGAGUUCAUAUCGACGGCGGUGUUUGGCACCUCGAUGUCGGCUCAUCACAUCCUGGGGCUGAAGUAGGUCCCAAGGGUAUGGCUGUUCGCCAUUUAAAGUGGUACGCGAGCUGGGUUUAGAACGUCGUGAGACAGUUCGGUCCCUAUCUGCCGUGGGCGCUGGAGAAUUGAGGGGGGCUGCUCCUAGUACGAGAGGACCGGAGUGGACGCAUCACUGGUGUUCGGGUUGUCAUGCCAAUGGCAUUGCCCGGUAGCUAAAUGCGGAAGAGAUAAGUGCUGAAAGCAUCUAAGCACGAAACUUGCCCCGAGAUGAGUUCUCCCUGACUCCUUGAGAGUCCUGAAGGAACGUUGAAGACGACGACGUUGAUAGGCCGGGUGUGUAAGCGCAGCGAUGCGUUGAGCUAACCGGUACUAAUGAACCGU
This 805-nucleotide ribosomal RNA is filed under the name Klebsiella oxytoca. RNAcentral describes it as "partial 23S ribosomal RNA". It matches the Rfam family "Bacterial large subunit ribosomal RNA", at positions 2113 to 2912 of the family's 2925-position model. The record is from RNAcentral. Lineage: Bacteria; Pseudomonadati; Pseudomonadota; Gammaproteobacteria; Enterobacterales; Enterobacteriaceae.